CAGAUACUCCAUUCGUCUGAAAAUAUUUGUCAUCAAGAUGAAUAAAAAGAGUUGUAUCUAAAUGUAUUUUAGUUCUAAAUAUACUUUUUUUAUCUAUUUUGAUGACAAGUAUUUCUGGAUGGAAGGAGUACAUC
Triticum aestivum (bread wheat) is the source of this 134-nucleotide non-coding RNA. Lineage: Eukaryota; Viridiplantae; Streptophyta; Magnoliopsida; Poales; Poaceae. The record is from Rfam.